UUGGGGUUCUGAACAGCCCAGCCUAAGUCCCACUUCCACUUCCACCUCCACCUGCACUGUUGCUAUCUGAUGAUGUGCUUUUUAGCUCUCCAAACCCAUCAAGCUAGAUCAUCAUAUGAAUUCAUUAUCCAAGCAUGGGUGGGUAUAGUAUCUGAGAAUGAAAAGCAAGUAAGUUAGUUGAUAUCAGAGAUGCAGGUAAGGUGUUAGCAUCACCAGCAACUGGAACUGGAAGUAGGUGUUCAUCGUCACCUGAAGCUUUUGCAGCAAUAGUUUCUUGAGAUCCAAAUCCCAGAUGUGUACUAGUUUUGGGGAAGCAGAUUUUGAGAGAGUGAGUCGGCUCUUGAAACGUUAGGACAAAGAGGCUGCCUCAAGGUUUUCAACAAAUAUCAAGAAGAAGAAGAAGAAGAAAGGUAAAAUAUAAGCAAGGGGUAAUUUUGUUAUAUUUUAAUAAAAGCAAAGGGUAAGUUUGUCAUUUUACAUGGAGUUAACAGAGAAAACUAACGGACAUCCACUCUAGGGACUAUCCGAGUAACAAACUGUCAAAGCACAAGGAGCACCGGUGUAAUUUCCAAAAGUUGGGGACUAUAUGUGUUAUUUUACAAAACCACAGGGACUAUCCUGGCAUUUUACUCUUUAAAUAAUGGACCCCGCCAGGGGCUGCCGUCCCCUAGACAUUUGUCUUAGGGGUGCUGGCACCGGACCCCUACACUAUGCUACAAAGAGGGCGUUGCCCCUUUGAAACCCUCAUUGAAUAGGGGCUUCGUCCGAACACUUAGAAUUACAAUAACUCAAACAAUCUUUCACUCCUCUACCUCUUAACUUGUUUGAUGUACAUUAAAAUUCACUUUUGUCAACAACUCAACUCCAGUUACACUUAAACAUCCAAAUGAGCUACUCACCUUUUAGUUUGUGGUUGUGGCGAACAACCGUCAUUUUAUAUAUUCAAAUAUAUGGUUUUGAAUUAGGAUCUUGUCGUUAAUUUACUUGAAAUACAAAAAAAAAAAAAAAAAAAAAAAAAAAAAAACAAGCCUUUAGUAGAAAACAAUGUUGAAAAUGUGAAAAUUACAAGUUUUGUCCUUUAUGUUUGUCUUAAAUUUCAGGCGCUGUCCUUUACCUUUAAAAUUGAUGACUUUUGUACUUAAUGUUUGAAAUGUUGCACGUAAUGUCCUUUAGGGCAAACCCAGUUAUAAUUUUCUGUUAAGUUAUGUCAUGUGCACUGCACAUGAGGGUAGAACAGUCAUUUCACCUCCCUACUUGUGUUUCCCCCUUUAAAUACCCUGAUAACACCCCAAUUCAUCACUUUUGUAAUUAGGGCUCAAGAUCACCCACCAAAUUAGGGUUCGUCGGCCAGAAUCAUGGUGAACUGCCAUUAUGGAUUAGGGAAAUAUUAAUACCUAUCUUGUGUAUGUCGAUCUGUUUUUUUACUUAAAUUGUGUUUUCCAGAUCAUGAAGUUUUUUCUGAUACUUUGUGGUGUUAUCUUUGUCAGUCAGUUUUACGGAAUUAUGAGUGUUGCUUGAUGUUAAAUGUCUUUUUAGCUCCAGAUAGGUAUUUAUAUAAACUCAUAAGUCAGAAGAAGAGUUUUUUUUUCGUU
RNAcentral lists this long non-coding RNA (1592 nucleotides) under Helianthus annuus (common sunflower). Its description in RNAcentral is "hypothetical non coding rna". The record is from RNAcentral. Lineage: Eukaryota; Viridiplantae; Streptophyta; Magnoliopsida; Asterales; Asteraceae.